GGAUGAACGCUGGCGGCGUGCCUAAUACAUGCAAGUCGAGCGAAUGGACGAGAAGCUUGCUUCUCUGAUGUUAGCGGCGGACGGGUGAGUAACACGUGGAUAACCUACCUAUAAGACUGGGAUAACUUCGGGAAACCGGAGCUAAUACCGGAUAAUAUUUUGAACCGCAUGGUUCAAAAGUGAAAGACGGUCUUGCUGUCACUUAUAGAUGGAUCCGCGCUGCAUUAGCUAGUUGGUAAGGUAACGGCUUACCAAGGCAACGAUGCAUAGCCGACCUGAGAGGGUGAUCGGCCACACUGGAACUGAGACACGGUCCAGACUCCUACGGGAGGCAGCAGUAGGGAAUCUUCCGCAAUGGGCGAAAGCCUGACGGAGCAACGCCGCGUGAGUGAUGAAGGUCUUCGGAUCGUAAAACUCUGUUAUUAGGGAAGAACAUAUGUGAAAGUAACUGUGCACAUCUUGACGGUACCUAAUCAGAAAGCCACGGCUAACUACGUG
Molecule: ribosomal RNA, 498 nt
Filed under: uncultured bacterium
Lineage: Bacteria
Description: partial 16S ribosomal RNA
Rfam family: Bacterial small subunit ribosomal RNA
Source: RNAcentral